CUGACAGAAGUGAUCACAACAGCAACUCUGCCCCUGUUUCAGAGGUAUGAAGUCAGGGACAGGGCCUCAGCUUUGUACCACAAAUAAAGCUCCUGCUUUUUAGGUAAACCUGAUGGACUUGGGAACUUUCCUGAACCUACUCAAAUCAUAACCGGUGUGAUGCAGCACUGUGGAGCCUUGUAUCUGUCUCUGUGGGGGAAAAUCUGAGGCUGGAAAAUCUCAAAUAUAUUUGGGGAGAAGGAGCAGUG
RNAcentral lists this long non-coding RNA (248 nucleotides) under Zonotrichia albicollis (white-throated sparrow). RNAcentral's name for it is "lncRNA (ENSZALG00000017676.1)". The record is from RNAcentral. Lineage: Eukaryota; Metazoa; Chordata; Aves; Passeriformes; Passerellidae.